AAAAGAAGAAAAAUGAAAAGGUGACCACCAGGAGAAUGAAGUAUAUUGGAGAAAGCAAUCUGAUGUUCAGAAAACUUACAUAACUAGUUCAAGAAUAUGCAGACCCAGACACUCUCCAGACUUGAUCCCAAGAGCUACAAUUCUUUCUACUACUCCCCACAGGAAAAAGUGAAAUCAGCCCUAGUACAAAAUAUAGGCUUUUUUUUUUUUUUUUUUUUUGAGACAGAGUCUCACUCUGUCGCCCAGGCUGGAGUGUAAUGAUGCGCUCUCGGCUCACUGCAACCUCUGGCUCCCGGGUUCAAGCAAUUCUCCUGCCUCAGCCUCCUGAGUAGCUGGGAUUACAUGUGCCCGCCACCACGCCCCGGCUAAUUUUUGUAUUUUUAGUAGAGACGGGUUUCACCAUGUUGGUUAGGCUAGUCUCAAACUCCUGACCUUGCGAUCUGCCCGCCUCGGCCUCCCAAAGUGCUGGGAUUACAGGUGUGGGCCACCGCGCCUGGCCAAAAUAUAGGCUCUUAUGGACUCCUCUUUUAUACUCAAGGAAUCAUGGAGACCAAGAUCCAGUACAUAC
This 568-nucleotide long non-coding RNA is filed under the name Homo sapiens (human). Its description in RNAcentral is "HSALNT0076903". The record is from RNAcentral. Lineage: Eukaryota; Metazoa; Chordata; Mammalia; Primates; Hominidae.